AAAGAAACCAACAGGGAUUGCCUCAGUAACUGCGAGUGAAGCGGCAAAAGCUCAAAUUUGAAAUCUGGUACCUUUGGGUGCUCGAGUUGUAAUUUGGAGAGGCAACUUCGAAGGAGGCGCUGGCNUAAGUUCCUUGGAACAGGACGUCACAGAGGGUGAGAAUCCCGUGCUUGGCUGGCUGUCCUCCUUCAUGUGAAGUGUCUUCGACGAGUCGAGUUGUUUGGGAAUGCAGCUCAAAAUGGGUGGUAAACUCCAUCUAAGGCUAAAUAUUGGCGAGAGACCGAUAGCGCACAAGUAGAGUGAUCGAAAGAUGAAAAGCACUUUGAAAAGAGAGUUAAACAGUACGUGAAAUUGUUGAAAGGGAAGCGCUUGAGACCAGACUCGGUGAUAGGUGAUCAGCGGUUGCUUUUGCUCCGUGCACUUGCCUUUUAUCGGGCCAGCAUCAGUUGUGACGGUGGGAUAAAGGCUCAGGGAAUGUGGCUCUCUUUGGGGAGUGUUAUAGCCCUGGGUGCAAUGCCACCUGUUGCGACUGAGGACCGCGCUUCGGCUAGGAUGCUGGCAUAAUGGUCUUCAGCGACCCGUCUUGAAACACGGACCAAGGAGUCUAACAUCUAUGCGAGUGUUCGGGUGUAAAACCCCUACGCGUAAUGAAAGUGAACGGAGGUGGGAACUCUUCGGAGUGCACCAUCGACCGAUCCUGAUGUCUUCGGAUGGAUUUGAGUAGGAGCAUAGCUGUUGGGACCCGAAAGAUGGUGAACUAUGCCUGAAUAGGGUGAAGCCAGAGGAAACUCUGGUGGAGGCUCGCAGCGGUUCUGACGUGCAAAUCGAUCGUCAAAUUUGGGUAUAGG
Molecule: ribosomal RNA, 848 nt
Filed under: Plectania melastoma
Lineage: Eukaryota; Fungi; Ascomycota; Pezizomycetes; Pezizales; Sarcosomataceae
Description: partial large subunit ribosomal RNA
Rfam family: Eukaryotic large subunit ribosomal RNA
Source: RNAcentral